AGGUGUAUGAGGUAUUUUAAGCCUAUCAAGUUCUUUGUGUAUGAGGUAUUUUUAAGACUAUCAAGUUCAAGAAUUUCUUAAGCCUAUCAAGUUCUUUGUGUAUGAGGUAUUUUUAAGAGUAUCAAGUUCAACAAUCAAAAUUUAUAAUUCACGUAUAAAUAGGAAUUUAAGGGAGUUUUUUGGAUAUUUCUCUCGAGCAAUUAUUCAAUAGUCAAUUGGUUCCCUGCAUAAUUUUCGUGCUCAAUUUUGAAGAAAAGCAUAGAGUUAUGAUGAGAGAAUCAAUUCAACUUCCCAUAAUCGACCUUACUUCCCCUCAUCCUAUUUCCACCGCUCGAGCAAUUCGUCAGGCAUGUGUAGAUGUUGGUUUCUUUUACCUAAUAAACCAUGGAGUAGAUGAAAAGUUAUUUAAGAAAGUGCUUGAACAGAGCAAAAAGUUUUUCUCACUGCCCCUUGAAGACAAGAUGAAACUGGUACGAAGGAACCACAGAGGAUAUACUCCCCUUUAUGCUGAGAAACUUGAUACCUCUUCUACUACACAAGGUGACUCAAAAGAAAGCUUCUACAUAGGUUCUCUGGAAGGAAAGAGUGUUGUUAGUAACUUGAAUCAGUGGCCGGAAGAAGAAACUCUGCCAAGUUGGAGAUCAACCAUGGAGGAUUACCAUAGAAGAGUCUUGGAUGCAGGUAUAAGACUAAUUUCACUGAUUGCUUUGGCAUUGGAUUUGGACAAGGACUUCUUUCAUAAAGCAGGGGCAUGUGAUUCACCAAAUGGAUUCCUUCGUCUGUUACAUUAUCCAGGCGAGUUGCAGUUAUCUGAACAAGUGGUGUAUGGUGCUUCUGCUCAUUCAGACUAUGGGAUGUUAACUCUUCUAGCUACAGAUGGUGUUGGUGGACUUCAGGUUUGCCGGGAGAAAUUCAACCGACCUCAGAUAUGGGAAGAUGUGCGUCACCUCAGUGGGGCUUUCAUAGUUAACAUUGGAGAUAUGAUGGAGAGGUGGACAAACUGCUUAUUUCGGUCUACAUUGCAUCGAGUUAUGCCAACGGGGCAAGAGCGUUAUUCGAUGAUCUGUGAGAAAUAGUCCCUCAAGUCCUCAUUGCGCAAUCACCAGCUACAUAGGAGGGAAAAAAAAAUUCAUCCCUGCGCUAUUUUGAGGUCACUGGAAAUUUCUGGUGACUGCCCAUAAAGCAGCACACCACAAGGCUCCAAAUCCUCAUGCGGGACAUUACACAAGAAAUUGCACUGCUAUUAGAGCCUCCAGGAGCCUUUGGGCCUCGCAUCACAUUCCUCACACACCGAUGGCUUUCUUUUUGGAUCCAAAUCCAGAUUGUGUGGUGGAAUGCUUGAAGAGCUGCUGUAGUGAUUCAUCUCCUCCCAG
This is an RNA transcript of Solanum tuberosum (potato), 1373 nucleotides long. It is a transcript of the gene named 1-aminocyclopropane-1-carboxylate oxidase-like, with no coding region annotated. Lineage: Eukaryota; Viridiplantae; Streptophyta; Magnoliopsida; Solanales; Solanaceae. The record is from RefSeq and is a predicted model, not a curated record. The transcript has 11 exons.